UCCUGGUUAGCUUAGGUGGUGUAGCGCUCACUGGAAAUGGAGAGGCCCCUGGUUCAAUACCAGGACCAGGCG
RNAcentral lists this transfer RNA (72 nucleotides) under Ixodes scapularis (black-legged tick). RNAcentral's name for it is "tRNA-Ser". The record is from RNAcentral. Lineage: Eukaryota; Metazoa; Arthropoda; Arachnida; Ixodida; Ixodidae.